This 460-nucleotide ribosomal RNA is filed under the name uncultured bacterium. RNAcentral's name for it is "partial 16S ribosomal RNA". It matches the Rfam family "Bacterial small subunit ribosomal RNA", at positions 338 to 795 of the family's 1533-position model. The record is from RNAcentral.
CCUACGGGUGGCAGCAGUGAGGAAUAUUGGUCAAUGGCCGAGAGGCUGAACCAGCCAAGUCGCGUGAGGGAAGAAUGUCCUAUGGAUUGUAAACCUCUUUUGUCAGGGAGCAAAGUAACCCACGUGUGGGUGUUGGCGAGUACCUGAUGAAUAAGCAUCGGCUAACUCCGUGCCAGCAGCCGCGGUAAUACGGAGGAUGCGAGCGUUAUCCGGAUUUAUUGGGUUUAAAGGGGGCGUAGAUGGGUUGUUAAGUCAGUUGUGAAAGUUUGCGGCUCAACCGUAAAAUUGCAAUUGAUACUGGCAGUCUUGAGUACAGUUGAGGUAGGCGGAAUGCGUGGUGUAGCGGUGAAAUGCUUAGAUAUCACGAAGAACUCCGAUUGCGAAGGCAGCUUACUAAACUGCCACUGACAUUGAUGCACGAAAGUGUGGGUAUCAAACAGGAUUAGAUACCCCAGUAGUC